Molecule: ribosomal RNA, 253 nt
Filed under: uncultured bacterium
Lineage: Bacteria
Description: partial 16S ribosomal RNA
Rfam family: Bacterial small subunit ribosomal RNA
Source: RNAcentral
UACGUAGGGGGCAAGCGUUGCCCGGAAUCAUUGGGCGUAAAGCGCGUGUAGGCGGCUCGAUAAGUCCGUUCUGAAAGUCCAGGGCUCAACCCUGGGAUGCGGAUGGAUACUGUCGAGCUCGAGUCCGGAAGAGGCGAGUGGAAUUCCUGGUGUAGCGGUGAAAUGCGCAGAUAUCAGGAGGAACACCAAUGGCGAAGGCAGCUCGCUGGGACGUGACUGACGCUGAGACGCGAAAGCGUGGGGAGCAAACAGG